UAGUAUAAUUGGAAGUACGGGGAGUUUUGGGCUCUUAAGUACAGGUUCAGGGCCUGUUUUUCUA
RNAcentral lists this transfer RNA (64 nucleotides) under Tracheloptychus petersi. Its description in RNAcentral is "partial tRNA-Gln". Lineage: Eukaryota; Metazoa; Chordata; Lepidosauria; Squamata; Gerrhosauridae. The record is from RNAcentral.